CAUAUACAUAAACUGGAAUAACGAAAGAUUCCUCGCAAUCGUGAAAUCUUUUCUGCGUAUCUGUGUUUAUUAUACUCUCCUCGAUACACUGACCAUAUAAUAUCGACUCGUUAUUUUCUAAUGAUGGAAAAUCGGUUACGUUAAUAUCCAUCCCGGUAGUUUUUGAGUACGUAUCGUCUUCAUUUAAAUCCAUACUGAAUAUGGUAGAUUCGCCAUUCCUUUCGGAGUUGUUACUUGCUGAUUGCUCUUCUGUAUACGAAGGAGACGUAAAUAAACGUACAACGUCUUUUUCUGAUGCAGAAAAAAACGGUAAAGGUGGACCACCUACUCGACGCCUGUCAAGAAGCAUUUUUGUGAAUCUUUGUGAUUCAGCAGAAGUUAAUAAAAGUUCUUUAUUGUGUAACUGUUUCAUAUGUUCUAAGAAAUUAUCCAUUAGUAUUUUAUUUGCACUUCCCUGUCCCUUAUUGUUG
Molecule: unclassified non-coding RNA, 470 nt
Filed under: Bombus terrestris (buff-tailed bumblebee)
Lineage: Eukaryota; Metazoa; Arthropoda; Insecta; Hymenoptera; Apidae
Description: misc RNA ENSBTSG00005027696.1
Source: RNAcentral